This 644-nucleotide ribosomal RNA is filed under the name Paraburkholderia diazotrophica. RNAcentral describes it as "bacterial SSU rRNA". It matches the Rfam family "Bacterial small subunit ribosomal RNA", at positions 344 to 981 of the family's 1533-position model. RNAcentral also lists the same sequence under 1 other name. The record is from RNAcentral. Lineage: Bacteria; Pseudomonadati; Pseudomonadota; Betaproteobacteria; Burkholderiales; Burkholderiaceae.
GGAGGCAGCAGUGGGGAAUUUUGGACAAUGGGGGCAACCCUGAUCCAGCAAUGCCGCGUGUGUGAAGAAGGCCUUCGGGUUGUAAAGCACUUUUGUCCGGAAAGAAAACGCCGUGGCUAAUACCCGUGGCGGAUGACGGUACCGGAAGAAUAAGCACCGGCUAACUACGUGCCAGCAGCCGCGGUAAUACGUAGGGUGCAAGCGUUAAUCGGAAUUACUGGGCGUAAAGCGUGCGCAGGCGGUUCGCUAAGACAGAUGUGAAAUCCCCGGGCUUAACCUGGGAACUGCAUUUGUGACUGGCGGGCUAGAGUAUGGCAGAGGGGGGUAGAAUUCCACGUGUAGCAGUGAAAUGCGUAGAGAUGUGGAGGAAUACCGAUGGCGAAGGCAGCCCCCUGGGCCAAUACUGACGCUCAUGCACGAAAGCGUGGGGAGCAAACAGGAUUAGAUACCCUGGUAGUCCACGCCCUAAACGAUGUCAACUGGUUGUCGGGCCUUCAUUGGCUUGGUAACGUAGCUAACGCGUGAAGUUGACCGCCUGGGGAGUACGGUCGCAAGAUUAAAACUCAAAGGAAUUGACGGGGACCCGCACAAGCGGUGGAUGAUGUGGAUUAAUUCGAUGCAACGCGAAAAACCUUACCUACCCU